CGUCAUCGACUCCAGAAGAGAGAGGGUAACAAGUCUCAUCGGAAGGUGGGAUCGGACGGCCGUAGAUCACGGUGAUGUCGUAGCCACCGCUGUACGGCGUUGGAUCGAACUCGUCGAAAUCGUCGACUUCAUCCUCUUCUCUGGUGUAGUACGGCAUCGUUUUUUUUUUUCAAAAAGGUUCUCUCUGAUCUGUGAUUUUCUCUCCUUUUCUCUUGGAUCUCACAAUAAUGACGAAAAUGGAAUUUUUUAAGGAGGAAGGAGACGAAGGGUAUAAAACGCGGCGUUUUUUUAAUUUAAUUACGUGGGCUCCAUUAAUCUGCUGUUUACAUGGCGAGCACUACGAGUCUACGACGCGGGUAAGAUUUUGCCACGUGGCUUUGUCUUAAUUGGUUAAACAAUCUGAUCGUACCGAUUGCCGACUGGUCGAACCGGAAUCCAUAAUUCGAUUCUUCUACCGACAGAUUUGAAUAUGUGAUUCCACGGAUGAGAAAGUACCGGUUCUGUAGUCAAGCUCUGAACCAUUUACACUUGAAAUGCUUAAAACUCAACAAAAGAAAAGAAAAGAAAAAUCCAAAUUUUGAUAUUUUCUUUCAAACAAAUAUUGCAUCAAUAAGGGAGAUUUGAAGUCAGAUAGUCGUUAUGCAAAUAAGGAGAUAACCAUGAGAGCGAAUUAAUACAACUGGUAUAGAAAGUAUUAGCAGUUUGUGUGGGAAAUCUGGUAGGGCUGGGCAAAAUAUCCGUUACAUUUGCUUCGAUCCGCUAUUCGUCUCGAAUCGAUCCGAAAAAUCUGGAUAUCCGUAAUUUUAUGGAGCAAAGCAAAUACUAAAAUUCAAUAUCCGUUAAAAACGAAGCAAAUCACAAAUACUAAAAAAAAAUUAAGACAGAUAUCCGCUCCGAUAUAAAUAUAUAUAUAUAGAUAAUAAUUCAUAUAAAGUAUAUAAUUAUUAUAUAUAAAUGUAAUUUUUGUGAAUUUUUUUUUAUAAAUUUGAUUAUUAUAAAUAUUAAAACUUAAUAGGUUAAGAAAAAAAUAUUUUUUAAAGAAAAUAUUGUCAUUUUAAACUAAAUUUUGAAUUUUUGAAUUUUUAUUUUAAAUAUUUUAUUAUUUAAAUAUUUUUAUGGGGCGGAUCGGAUAUCCGACAAAUAUUCAGAUUUUUGGCGGAUAUCCGGAAAAUGGAUAUCCAGAUAAUUACGGAGCGGAUACAGAUCGAAAAAGUGAUUAUCAGGGCGGAGCGGAUCACGGAUAUCCCUAAAAUCCAGGAUAUCCGCUCCGCGCCCACCCCUAAAAUCUGGAUUUGAACCUAAGAUCCAAGCAGUAUACAUGAUAGUCAAUAACAAACAAUUUAGAUAUUCCUGACAUUAGUCAGAAAGCAUUUCAAACUUGGGAUAUGCAGUGUGGUAACCCGCUGGAUCUCAUAGAUCUCUUGACUUGUUGGCCCAAGUGCAUGUGCUUGGAGUUUAUGGUGUUCGUUGAACCUGGAUAAUCAAUCUACUCUAUAAUACUUCGUUGCAUUCCUAUCGGAACUGACCGAAUCAGCCGAUAGAGUUUAUCAACAAAAAGAUAUUAGCAAAAGAAACCUUCUUAGCCAACCAAUGUGCUGAUUCAUAGUAAUACAGUAAAACCUCUUUAAAUUAAUAAUGUUGGGACUAUGAUAUUUUAUUAAUUUAUCGUGAUAUUAAUUUAUCUAUAAAUUAAUAAUUAUUAAUUAAUAGAGAAAAAUUGCUUUCUGCAUAUAAUUUUCUAAAGAUUAUUUUGGAAUAAUGUUAUAUUUUAAAAUUUUAACAAAUAUCAUAAUAUAAAUUAUGAUUAAAAAUCAUAACUAUCACAAUAAAAUAGUUUUCACCAUAUUGGAUUAUCCAUAUAAAAAUAUACAUGUUCAUAAGUAUAAAAUUUAUAAAAAAAACUAUGGCUACUAUCAGUAUUAUUGAUGAUAAAAUUGUAGAUAACACUACAAUACAUUUAAAAACAUUUAUAUGUAAGAAAAUCAAUUAUCACAUCAAAAAAUCAUCAUAAAUUUUGAAUAUAUAUAGUAAAACCGCAAUAAGAGUUACUGAUAUAAUAAUUAGAGAGAUGAGAACCAAUGAGAUUUUAACUUUAACUAAAAACAAACACAUUAGUCAUAUUUUAGAAUAUUAAAUUUAUAUAUAUUUUCAGAAAUUUAUAUCAUUAUUAAUUUAUGUUUUUGUUGGGACCAUAUAUUUACAUAAGGGUUUCAAAAAAAAUUAUUAUCUUAUUAUCUUAUCGAAUUUGAUGGAUUUUUACAUUGGCCCGACUUGGGACCAUCAAAAUUUAUUAAUUUAUAGUGAUUAUUAAUUUAUCGAGUAUUAAUUUAUAGAAGCUCUACUGUAUAGUGUUUUCUUAUUCAUUGGAAUGCAACUCGAUCAAACCCAAAUUUUCAUUUAUCUAUUUUCUUCUAUAUAUUAAAAACUUCGAGAUCCUAUUUUUCUCAGAUAUUUGAGUUUUUGUCAAAAUUUUAUUUUUGUUGAUUUGAAUAUGCUUUCUUCCGUAUCAGUUAUUUUUUUCGUAUGGUAUAAGACAUAUAAUGUUAUGAUCUGAAUGCUAGUUUGGAAUUUAAUAUAGUACUGAAUUUUAGAAUUUGUUAUAAAAUAUUAUGUAUGUAAUUUAUAUUUCAAAGUCGGUAAAUUUUUAAAUCCAUUAAUCGACUAGACUAUCAGAAAGAAAAAUUUUUGGUUUUAAAAACAUCAUUCUAAAAGAUACAAUUACAACAACUGAUUUUUGUUUUUUUUGUAGCUGUAGACUAUAUUUCAAAUACUCUUUUUUAUGUUGCAAAAAAGUUUCAUGAUGAACUAAUAGAAAAGUUCUUGUAGGGGAAGAAGACCACCUUGGACAAAAUGGAAAAGUCUAGAUAAAGAGUACAAUCACUUGAAGGUAAAACAAAAACUCUCAACUUGUUCAGCCGAGAAAAUUUGUUUGUUAUUUUGAAUAGGUACUCUCAAGAAAAGUUGGCAAUAACAGCCAUUUUAAAUUGGGUGCAUAGAGAGAAAUUAACAUAUGGGACAUGUAACUAAAACAGUGAGAGAGAGAGAGUUGAUUGAAAAAAAAAAUAGUGGAUCGAUGUCUGUUGGCUUAGUGUUCUAAAUCUUCUACAAAAAAUUUGUGCAUUAUUGUUCACAAACUUGUGUGUUUUUUUGUCUUUUGUAGUGUUAAAGUUUGCCGAGGCUCUUAUGAUCCUAUAUUGGUAAUGGCGUGUGAAGCAUGGGCUAAAACG
RNAcentral lists this long non-coding RNA (3227 nucleotides) under Eutrema salsugineum. Its description in RNAcentral is "long non-coding RNA (ESAL_LNC001562)". The record is from RNAcentral. Lineage: Eukaryota; Viridiplantae; Streptophyta; Magnoliopsida; Brassicales; Brassicaceae.